RNAcentral lists this ribosomal RNA (921 nucleotides) under Massilia suwonensis. RNAcentral describes it as "bacterial SSU rRNA". Lineage: Bacteria; Pseudomonadati; Pseudomonadota; Betaproteobacteria; Burkholderiales; Oxalobacteraceae. The record is from RNAcentral.
CAUGCUUUACACAUGCAAGUCGAACGGCAGCACGGGCUUCGGCCUGGUGGCGAGUGGCGAACGGGUGAGUAAUAUAUCGGAACGUACCCAAGAGUGGGGGAUAACGUAGCGAAAGUUACGCUAAUACCGCAUACGAUCUAAGGAUGAAAGUGGGGGAUCGCAAGACCUYRUGCUCCUGGAGCGGCCGAUAUCUGAUUAGCUAGUUGGUGAGGUAAAGGCUCACCAAGGCGACGAUCAGUAGCUGGUCUGAGAGGACGACCAGCCACACUGGAACUGAGACACGGUCCAGACUCCUACGGGAGGCAGCAGUGGGGAAUUUUGGACAAUGGGCGCAAGCCUGAUCCAGCAAUGCCGCGUGAGUGAAGAAGGCCUUCGGGUUGUAAAGCUCUUUUGUCAGGGAAGAAACGGUAGAGGCUAAUAUCCUUUGCUAAUGACGGUACCUGAAGAAUAAGCACCGGCUAACUACGUGCCAGCAGCCGCGGUAAUACGUAGGGUGCAAGCGUUAAUCGGAAUUACUGGGCGUAAAGCGUGCGCAGGCGGUUUUGUAAGUCUGUCGUGAAAGCCCCGGGCUCAACCUGGGAAUUGCGAUGGAGACUGCAAGGCUUGAAUCUGGCAGAGGGGGGUAGAAUUCCACGUGUAGCAGUGAAAUGCGUAGAGAUGUGGAGGAACACCGAUGGCGAAGGCAGCCCCCUGGGUCAAGAUUGACGCUCAUGCACGAAAGCGUGGGGAGCAAACAGGAUUAGAUACCCUGGUAGUCCACGCCCUAAACGAUGUCUACUAGUUGUCGGGUUUUAAUUAACUUGGUAACGCAGCUAACGCGUGAAGUAGACCGCCUGGGGAGUACGGUCGCAAGAUUAAAACUCAAAGGAAUUGACGGGGACCCGCACAAGCGGUGGAUGAUGUGGAUUAAUUCGAUGCAAC